Long non-coding RNA from Cyprinodon tularosa, 312 nucleotides. RefSeq lists it as uncharacterized. Lineage: Eukaryota; Metazoa; Chordata; Actinopteri; Cyprinodontiformes; Cyprinodontidae. The record is from RefSeq and is a predicted model, not a curated record. The transcript has 3 exons.
CCCUAUUUCAUUCAGAUGUGCGGUUUGGUUGGGAUGAACAUAAAGCUGUAGUUGUUGCUGGAAUGAGACAGACUGGCGUGUUUUUUAAUGCAGCUUUCCAAAUAUGACCCGUGCUUUUUCUCACAUUUGAAAAGGGGAUUUUCCACUGUUGUUUUUCGGGUCAGAAAUCCCUCUCUAAAGAAAUUCUUACAUGGAUGGACGGCUUAAGGAUUCACUGGAACAGAGGUUCUCCAAUGGAGAGAGUCAGAAUCUAAUCAGCAACUGCAAAUGAAACCUGUCUACCUGACUGAGGAACUGACCCCCCCCCCCCCC